CCAACAACACAAGCAAACAAGCACAAGCACAAAGAACAAGCACAACAUCCCACCCAUAAAUAAUCUCCAGACCUCACUGAUCAUCAUAAAAAGAUGGCAAACAUGGACAAGUAGACCAUAAGAAACUCAAAACAAACCACCAUCCUUACUUUCCUUUCACUUCUUCACCCUCAUUUUCUUUAAUUAAUUCCUCUCUUCUUCUUCUUCUUCUUCUUCAAACUCCUGCCAAUUUUCAAGUAGUUGGUAGUUUCCAUGCAUGCCAAUGCCUAACCUCUCAACAUCAUUCAUUCAUUCAUCCUAAACCUUAACUUCUCUAAAUCUAAAUGUCUCCUCUUCUCCUUUCCUUCCUUCUUCUUCUUCUCCUCUCUUCUGAAGCUAGAUUUCUACAACCACAGGGAGGAGAGAAGAUGAUGAUGGUGAUGAUGAAGAAGAGAUCAAUGAUAGGGUCAAGGCCACCAAGUUGUGAGAAGAGAUCAUCAACAUGCAUGGCAUGCAAACAAUGUGAAGCUAUACAAGUGCCUGUAGUGCCACAAGAUCACAAGAGGAGUACAAAAACCACACAAUCUCUCAAAGCAGUUGUAUUCAUUUCAGGCUCAUUAGAGAGAGAUAACAGCAACUACAAACCCAUGAACUGGAAAUGCAAGUGUGGAAACAUGAUCUUCAAUCCAUGACCAACUUGUAUUUUUAGUUAUUACUACACUCUUUUUU
Molecule: long non-coding RNA, 708 nt
Organism: Dioscorea cayenensis subsp. rotundata (Guinea yam)
Lineage: Eukaryota; Viridiplantae; Streptophyta; Magnoliopsida; Dioscoreales; Dioscoreaceae
Exons: 2
Source: RefSeq, a predicted model, not a curated record